GAUGAACGCUAGCGGCAGGCCUAACACAUGCAAGUCGAGGGGCAGCACAGAAAUUCAGCAAUGAGUUUUGGUGGCGACCGGCAGACGGGUGCGUAACGCGUGUGCAACCUACCCUUAACAGGGGAAUAACGGAGGGAAACUUCCACUAAUACCCCAUAACAUCCCAAGAGGCACCUCUUGGGGAUGAAAGCUCCGGCGGUUAAGGAUGGGCACGCGUUGUAUUAGAUUGUUGGUGAGGUAACGGCUCACCAAGUCUACGAUACAUAGGGGGACUGAGAGGUUAACCCCCCACACUGGUACUGAGACACGGACCAGACUCCUACGGGAGGCAGCAGUGAGGAAUAUUGGUCAAUGGACGCAAGUCUGAACCAGCCAUGCCGCGUGCAGGAAGACGGCUCUAUGAGUUGUAAACUGCUUUUGCAAGAGGAUAAUUGCGGGUACGUGUACCCGCUUGAAGGUACCUUGCGAAUAAGGAUCGGCUAACUCCGUGCCAGCCGCCGCCGUAA
Molecule: ribosomal RNA, 506 nt
Filed under: uncultured bacterium
Lineage: Bacteria
Description: partial 16S ribosomal RNA
Rfam family: Bacterial small subunit ribosomal RNA
Source: RNAcentral